Molecule: long non-coding RNA, 777 nt
Organism: Raphanus sativus (radish)
Lineage: Eukaryota; Viridiplantae; Streptophyta; Magnoliopsida; Brassicales; Brassicaceae
Exons: 3
Source: RefSeq, a predicted model, not a curated record
UUAACAAAAAAGGGAAAAAGAAAAAAACGUCGAACACCGUUUUCUCCACCAGAGCUAGGAAAGCUUGUCGUCUCGUCACCUCCAUCUCCGACGGUCUCUUUUCCGUCCACAACCAGUGACAUCUGGAUUCAAUUGCAAGCUACUCUAAUAUGCGUGGGAAGAACUCUCUUUGUAUGGUUCUGGAUCUGACAAGAGAGCUUGUGCAUCAGGCUGAGAAGAAAUUCAGGGAAUUUGCUCCAAGCUUGGAUACUAUAUGUCUUUAUGGAGGUACACCGAUCUGACAGCAAGUGCGGGAGCUCAACUAUGGUGUUGAUGUUGCGGUUGGUACUCCAGGUCGUAUCGUUGAUCUGAUCAAAAGGGGAGCUUUGAAUCUAUCAAAGCUUCAGUUUGUGGUUCUUGAUGAAGCUGAUCAGAUGCUUCAGGUUGGAUUUGUGUAGGAUAUGGAAGUUAUAUUGGGGGAUUUGGUUGAAUGUUCACCGUCAAGUGGAGAGAGCAGCUUUGUUGGUUUUGGAUAACAGAUCUUACUGAGAAGUGUUGGGUGAGUUAUGAUCUGAGCCUGAAAUAAUGGAGGGCUUGGUGACUAGAGAUUUUUAGUAGAGUUUAGUUAUAUGCUAUAUAUAAAUCUGUAGCUCCGUCCCUCAUAAAAAAACAUGUUUUAUUUUGAAGUUGUUGUCAUCACUAAUUUAUUUUCUACACUGGUAGAAAAAUAUAAUUGUUCCUUUCUAUUUGUAUUUGGCCACUUCCAUAAACUUAGAACGAUUCUUUCAUCCACCAGAA